UUAAGCGACUAAGCGUACACGGUGGAUGCCCUGGCAGUCAGAGGCGAUGAAGGGCGUGCUAAUCUGCGAUAAGCGCCGGUAAGGUGAUAUGAACCGUUAUAACCGGCGAUACCCGAAUGGGGAAACCCAGUGUGAUUCGUCACACUAUCAUUAACUGAAUCCAUAGGUUAAUGAGGCGAACCGGGGGAACUGAAACAUCUAAGUACCCCGAGGAAAAGAAAUCAACCGAGAUUCCCCCAGUAGCGGCGAGCGAACGGGGAGGAGCCCAGAGCCUGAAUCAGCAUGUGUGUUAGUGGAAGCGUCUGGAAAGGCGCGCGAUACAGGGUGACAGCCCCGUACACAAAAGCGCAUGUGCUGUGAGCUCGAUGAGUAGGGCGGGACACGUGGUAUCCUGUCUGAAUAUGGGGGGACCAUCCUCCAAGGCUAAAUACUCCUGACUGACCGAUAGUGAACCAGUACCGUGAGGGAAAGGCGAAAAGAACCCCGGCGAGGGGAGUGAAAAAGAACCUGAAACCGUGUACGUACAAGCAGUGGGAGCCCCACCACUAAGCCAGUGGUGAACUCCACAUCCGCAUCCUUUGCUGAGGAUACGGUUAACGGAGCGAAAGCGACGUUCAACCGCAAAACAAGCAGAGGGGGCUUAGUGGUGGGGUGACUGCGUACCUUUUGUAUAAUGGGUCAGCGACUUAUAUUCUGUAGCAAGGUUAACCGAAUAGGGGAGCCGGAGGGAAACCGAGUCUUAAUUGGGCGUUAAGUUGCAGGGUAUAGACCCGAAACCCGGUGAUCUAGCCAUGGGCAGGUUGAAGGUUGGGUAACACUAACUGGAGGACCGAACCGACUAAUGUUGAAAAAUUAGCGGAUGACCUGUGGCUGGGGGUGAAAGGCCAAUCAAACCGGGAGAUAGCUGGUUCUCCCCGAAAGCUAUUUAGGUAGCGCCUCGUGAAUUCAUCUCCGGGGGUAGAGCACUGUUUCGGCUAGGGGGCCAUCCCGGCUUACCAACCCGAUGCAAACUGCGAAUACCGGAGAAUGUUAUCACGGGAGACACACGGCGGGUGCUAACGUCCGUCGUGAAGAGGGAAACAACCCAGACCGCCAGCUAAGGUCCCAAAGUCAUGGUUAAGUGGGAAACGAUGUGGGAAGGCCCAGACAGCCAGGAUGUUGGCUUAGAAGCAGCCAUCAUUUAAAGAAAGCGUAAUAGCUCACUGGUCGAGUCGGCCUGCGCGGAAGAUGUAACGGGGCUAAACCAUGCACCGAAGCUGCGGCAGCGAACGUAUCACCCAAGACAACUUUACGGAGUUGACGAUUGACGGAGCGAAGCGACGUCAAAGCGUUCAUUAAAGUCGAGUUGGCUUAGGGAUACGUUCGUUGGGUAGGGGAGCGUUCUGUAAGCCUGUGAAGGUGUGUCGUGAGGCAUGCUGGAGGUAUCAGAAGUGCGAAUGCUGACAUAAGUAACGAUAAAGCGGGUGAAAAGCCCGCUCGCCGGAAGACCAAGGGUUCCUGUCCAACGUUAAUCGGGGCAGGGUGAGUCGACCCCUAAGGCGAGGCCGAAAGGCGUAGUCGAUGGGAAACGGGUUAAUAUUCCCGUACUUGGUGUUACUGCGAAGGGGGGACGGAGAAGGCUAUGUUGGCCGGGCGACGGUUGUCCCGGUUUAAGCGUGUAGGUGUGUGUUCCAGGUAAAUCCGGUUCACUUUAACACUGAGGCGUGACGACGAGGCACUACGGUGCUGAAGCAACAAAUGCCCUGCUUCCAGGAAAAGCCUCUAAGCAUCAGGUAACAUCAAAUCGUACCCCAAACCGACACAGGUGGUCAGGUAGAGAAUACCAAGGCGCUUGAGAGAACUCGGGUGAAGGAACUAGGCAAAAUGGUGCCGUAACUUCGGGAGAAGGCACGCUGACACGUAGGUGAAGUGAUUUACUCAUGGAGCUGAAGUCAGUCGAAGAUACCAGCUGGCUGCAACUGUUUAUUAAAAACACAGCACUGUGCAAACACGAAAGUGGACGUAUACGGUGUGACGCCUGCCCGGUGCCGGAAGGUUAAUUGAUGGGGUCAGCGCAAGCGAAGCUCCUGAUCGAAGCCCCGGUAAACGGCGGCCGUAACUAUAACGGUCCUAAGGUAGCGAAAUUCCUUGUCGGGUAAGUUCCGACCUGCACGAAUGGCGUAAUGAUGGCCAGGCUGUCUCCACCCGAGACUCAGUGAAAUUGAACUCGCUGUGAAGAUGCAGUGUACCCGCGGCAAGACGGAAAGACCCCGUGAACCUUUACUAUAGCUUGACACUGAACAUUGAGCCUUGAUGUGUAGGAUAGGUGGGAGGCUUUGAAGUGUGGACGCCAGUCUGCAUGGAGCCGACCUUGAAAUACCACCCUUUAAUGUUUGAUGUUCUAACGUGGACCCGUAAUCCGGGUUGCGGACAGUGUCUGGUGGGUAGUUUGACUGGGGCGGUCUCCUCCUAAAGAGUAACGGAGGAGCACGAAGGUUGGCUAAUCCUGGUCGGACAUCAGGAGGUUAGUGCAAUGGCAUAAGCCAGCUUGACUGCGAGCGUGACGGCGCGAGCAGGUGCGAAAGCAGGUCAUAGUGAUCCGGUGGUUCUGAAUGGAAGGGCCAUCGCUCAACGGAUAAAAGGUACUCCGGGGAUAACAGGCUGAUACCGCCCAAGAGUUCAUAUCGACGGCGGUGUUUGGCACCUCGAUGUCGGCUCAUCACAUCCUGGGGCUGAAGUAGGUCCCAAGGGUAUGGCUGUUCGCCAUUUAAAGUGGUACGCGAGCUGGGUUUAGAACGUCGUGAGACAGUUCGGUCCCUAUCUGCCGUGGGCGCUGGAGAACUGAGGGGGGCUGCUCCUAGUACGAGAGGACCGGAGUGGACGCAUCACUGGUGUUCGGGUUGUCAUGCCAAUGGCACUGCCCGGUAGCUAAAUGCGGAAGAGAUAAGUGCUGAAAGCAUCUAAGCACGAAACUUGCCCCGAGAUGAGUUCUCCCUGAGACUUAGAGUCUCCUGAAGGAACGUUGAAGACGACGACGUUGAUAGGCCGGGUGUGUAAGCGCAGCGAUGCGUUGAGCUAACCGGUACUAAUGAACCGUGAGGCUUAACCUU
RNAcentral lists this ribosomal RNA (3089 nucleotides) under Salmonella enterica subsp. enterica serovar Typhimurium str. UK-1. RNAcentral's name for it is "bacterial LSU rRNA". It matches the Rfam family "Bacterial large subunit ribosomal RNA". The record is from RNAcentral. RNAcentral also lists the same sequence under 1 other name. Lineage: Bacteria; Pseudomonadati; Pseudomonadota; Gammaproteobacteria; Enterobacterales; Enterobacteriaceae.